UGAGGAAUAUUGGUCAAUGGGCGAGAGCCUGAACCAGCCAAGUCGCGUGAGGGAAGACGGUCCUACGGAUUGUAAACCUCUUUGUCGGGGAGCAAUAAAGCGUACGCGUACGCAGAUGCGAGUACCCGAAGAAAAAGCAUCGGCUAACUCCGUGCCAGCAGCCGCGGUAAUACGGAGGAUGCGAGCGUUAUCCGGAUUUAUUGGGUUUAAAGGGUGCGCAGGCGGAAAGUGCAAGUCAGCGGUCAAACGACGGGGCUCAACCCCGUCUCGCCGUUGAAACUGUCUUUCUAGAGUGAGCGAGGAGUAUGCGGAAUGCGUGGUGUAGCGGUGAAAUGCAUAGAUAUCACGCAGAACUCCGAUUGCGAAGGCAGCAUACCGGCGCUCAACUGACGCUCAUGCACGAAAGCGUGGGUAUCGAACAGGAUUAGAUACC
Molecule: ribosomal RNA, 433 nt
Filed under: uncultured bacterium
Lineage: Bacteria
Description: bacterial SSU rRNA
Rfam family: Bacterial small subunit ribosomal RNA
Source: RNAcentral